Molecule: ribosomal RNA, 503 nt
Filed under: uncultured bacterium
Lineage: Bacteria
Description: bacterial SSU rRNA
Rfam family: Bacterial small subunit ribosomal RNA
Source: RNAcentral
AAUGAACGCUGGCGGCGUGCCUAACACAUGCAAGUCGGAUGUGCCGCAAGGUGCAUGGCAGACGGGUGAGUAACGCGUAGGGAAUCUACCUUUUUGUGGGGAAUAACGCUCCGAAAGGAGUGGUAAUACCGCAUGAGACCGUGGCCUGGGAUGGUUACGGUGAAACCUGGGGACCGCAAGGCCUGGGGCAAAAAGAGGAUCCUGCGUCUGAUUAGCUAGUUGGCGGGGUAAUGGCCCACCAAGGCGACGAUCAGUAGCCGGCCUGAGAGGGUGAUCGGCCACACUGGAACUGAGACACGGUCCAGACUCCUACGGGAGGCAGCAGUGGGGAAUUUUGCGCAAUGGACGAAAGUCUGACGCAGCAACGCCGCGUGGGUGAUGAAGGUCUUCGGACUGUAAAACCCUGUCGUCAGGGACGAAGGUGGCAGUGUUAAUAGCGCUGUUACUUGACGGUACCUGGAGAGGAAGCCCCGGGCUAACUCUGUGCCAGCAGCCGCGGUAAU